CAUGUUUUCAGAAGCAAAGUGUCUGUUAUGCUGACAUGUAAGAAGUUGAAAGAGAAGUCAGGCAGGUACUCAUCAGUGACUUUCACAUCAUUUAGUUAAGAAUCUGGCAAAAAUAGGAACACUUUUUCAUUGUUAUUUUAUCUCUGCUUACUGCAUGCUGUGGACACAACCAAGCAGGGCAGCACACUGUACCUUGGGACCUGUGCUGUGCACAGCAGCAUCACCAUGGCUUCUGUUAGUGGUACAAGGCAGGCCUGGGAUGAAGGAGAGGUGUGGAGUGUCGGCUGCCCUCUGAGUGGUGGUGCCACUGUGCUAGGGUGGGACAUUAGUUCUGUAGCUGGGCUGUGUGCUCUCCCUUUUGGUACAAAUAUGUGUCCUGGAUGCUACUGUAAUUCCAUGUAAGUGUAUGAUGCUAUUUAUUGUUGUUAUUGAUCAUUCAAAGACAUUAAAAUAUCCAAUUAGGAUAACUAUUCGUUAUGAUAUAGAAAGCAUUUUUGAUGGGGGCAGGAUGGAGUCCAAGAUGAAGCACAUUUGCAUGGAUUUAAAGACAAGAGCGCAGCCUGCAAAUAGGAAUUUCCACAGUGGAUUUUGCCUUUGAAAAUCUAGGGUAGGAGAAUCUCCUGCUAAGCUUCGGAUGGAGUCCCAGGCAGGAGGCUGAGAAAUUCAUUCUGUGAAUGCAGACAGUCCUGCUGUCUAGAGGAACCAAGCAGGUCCUAGGCAAGUGCUUGAACAUCCACAGUCAUGUUCAUCUUCAGGCACUUCUGUUCCUUUGCUUCAGGAAACCUGUCAGAAUACAAUCCAAAAUGUAGCUGAUGCUUUACAAAGUGUAGCAAGACUUAAUCUGCCCUUGUGUAACUUCGCACAGUGCAAAUCACUAAGCAGAGAGAGUCUUCAGAGAGAUUUAUGGUCUGUGGAACACAAGAACACCCAAA
This 932-nucleotide long non-coding RNA is filed under the name Gallus gallus (chicken). RNAcentral describes it as "long non-coding RNA NONGGAT006793". Lineage: Eukaryota; Metazoa; Chordata; Aves; Galliformes; Phasianidae. The record is from RNAcentral.